UCCAAGAUAUCGCCACACUUUCUUCUGGUCAUGGCUAGAUGGCACUUGUGGCUAGAUUUCUUCCAUGCACCACUAAUCGCUACCAUGUCUGUGGCCGGAGCUAUUCGACGAACAACCAUCGCAUUUACCUAGGUACUUUUUCGGGUUUUUGGUCCAACUUGCACCAUUUUUGGCCCGUAUUUGCCCCAUAGCUCCGCCGGUAUCCAAGAUAUCGCCAAACUUUCUUCUGGCCAUGGCUAGAUGGCACUUGUGGCUAGAUUUCUUCCAUGCACCAUUAAUCGCUACCAUGUCUGUGGCCGGAGCUAUUCGACGAACAACCAUCGCAUUUACCUAGGUACUUUUUCGGGUUUUUGGUCCAACUUGCACCAUUUUUAGCUUAUGAGCUUAUGAGAAGAUCUAUCCAUAUCUGUGUUACAAUUGAAGAUCCAUUGGAAACUGACCGAGUUAUAAGCAUGCAAAGUGGCAAAAUGAGAAUUUUUUUUUUUUGAAAAACCGAGAAAAUUUUAAGUCUUUGUAUCUCGAAUAUCAUUUGACACGGACAACUAAGCACAUCGGCGUUGAAUAACUUUUGGUAGCUAAUGAGAAGAUCUAUCCAUAUCUGUGUUACAAUUGAAGAUCCAUUGGAAACUGACCGAGUUAUAAGCAUCCAAAGUGGCAAAAUGAGGCAAUUUUUUUCUGGUAAAUACCGAGAAAAUUUUAAGUCUUUGUAUCUCGAAUAACAUAUGACACGGACAACUUAGCACAUCGGCGUAGAAUAACUUUUGGUAGCUAAUGAGAAGAUCUAUCCAUAUCUGUGUUACAAUGGAAGAUCCAUUGGAAACUGACCGAGUUAUAAGCAUCCAAAGUGGCAAAAUGAGGCAAUUUUUUUCUUGUAAAUACCGAGAAAAUUUUAAGUCUUUGUAUCUCGAAUAACAUUUGACACGGACAACUUAGCACAUCGGCGUAGAAUAACUUUUGGUAGCUAAUGAGAAGAUCUAUCCAUAUCUGUGUUACAAUGGAAGAUCCAUUGGAAACUGACCGAGUUAUAAGCAUCCAAAGUGGCAAAAUGAGGCAAUUUUUUUCUUGUAAAUACCGAGAAAAUUUUAAGUCUUUGUAUCUCGAAUAACAUUUGACACGGACAACUUAGCACAUCGGCGUAGAAUAACUUUUGGUAGCUAAUGAGAAGAUCUAUCCAUAUCUGUGUUACAAUUGAAGAUCCAUUGGAAACUGACCGAGUUAUAAGCAUCCAAAGUGGCAAAAUGAGGCAAUUUUUUUCUUGUAAAUACCGAGAAAAUUUUAAGUCUUUGUAUCUCGAAUAACAUUUGACACGGACAACUUAGCACAUCGGCGUAGAAUAACUUUUGGUAGCUAAUGAGAAGAUCUAUCCAUAUCUGUGUUACAAUUGAAGAUCCAUUGGAAACUGACCGAGUUAUAAGCAUCCAAAGUGGCAAAAUGAGGCAAUUUUUUUUUGUAAAUACCGAGAAAAUUUUAAGUCUUUGUAUCUCGAAUAACAUUUGACACGGACAACUUAGCACAUCGGCGUAGAAUAACUUUUGGUAGCUAAUGAGAAGAUCUAUCCAUAUCUGUGUUACAAUUGAAGAUCCAUUGGAAACUGACCGAGUUAUAAGCAUCCAAAGUGGCAAAAUGAGGCAAUUUUUUUCUUGUAAAUACCGAGAAAAUUUUAAGUCUUUGUAUCUCGAAUAACAUUUGACACGGACAACUUAGCACAUCGGCGUAGAAUAACUUUUGGUAGCUAAUGAGAAGAUCUAUCCAUAUCUGUGUUACAAUUGAAGAUCCAUUGGAAACUGACCGAGUUAUAAGCAUCCAAAGUGGCAAAAUGAGGCAAUUUUUUUCUUGUAAAUACCGAGAAAAUUUUAAGUCUUUGUAUCUCGAAUAACAUUUGACACGGAAAACUUAGCACAUCGGCGUAGAAUAACUUUUGGUAGCUAAUGAGAAGAUCUAUCCAUAUCUGUGUUACAAUUGAAGAUCCAUUGGAAACUGACCGAGUUAUAAGCAUCCAAAGUGGCAAAAUGAGGCAAUUUUUUUUUUGUAAAUACCGAGAAAAUUUUAAGUCUUUGUAUCUCGAAUAACAUUUGACACGGACAACUUAGCACAUCGGCGUAGAAUAACUUUUGGUAGCUAAUGAGAAGAUCUAUCCAUAUCUGUGUUACAAUUGAAGAUCCAUUGGAAACUGACCGAGUUAUAAGCAUCCAAAGUGGCAAAAUGAGGCAAUUUUUUUCUUGUAAAUACCAAGAAAAUUUUAAGUCUUUGUAUCUCGAAUAACAUUUGACACGGACAACUUAGCACAUCGGCGUAGAAUAACUUUUGGUAGCUAAUGAGAAGAUCUAUCCAUAUCUGUGUUACAAUUGAAGAUCCAUUGGAAACUGACCGAGUUAUAAGCAUCCAAAGUGGCAAAAUGAGGCAAUUUUUUUUUUGUAAAUACCGAGAAAAUUUUAAGUCUUUGUAUCUCGAAUAACAUUUGACACGGACAACUUAGCACAUCGGCGUGGAAUAACUUUUGGUAGCUUAUGAGAAGAUCUAUCCAUAUCUGUGUUACAAUUGAAGAUCCAUUGGAAACUGACCGAGUUAUAAGCAUCCAAAGUGGCAAAAUGAGGCAAUUUUUUUUUUUGUAAAUACCGAGAAAAUUUUAAGUCUUUGUAUCUCGAAUAACAUUUGACACGGACAACUUAGCACAUCGGCGUAGAAUAACUUUUGGUAGCUAAUGAGAAGAUCUAUCCAUAUCUGUGUUACAAUUGAAGAUCCAUUGGAAACUGACCGAGUUAUAAGCAUCCAAAGUGGCAAAAUGAGGCAAUUUUUUUCUUGUAAAUACCGAGAAAAUUUUAAGUCUUUGUAUCUCGAAUAACAUUUGACACGGACAACUUAGCACAUCGGCGUAGAAUAACUUUUGGUAGCUAAUGAGAAGAUCUAUCCAUAUCUGUGUUACAAUUGAAGAUCCAUUGGAAACUGACCGAGUUAUAAGCAUCCAAAGUGGCAAAAUGAGGCAAUUUUUUUCUUGUAAAUACCGAGAAAAUUUUAAGUCUUUGUAUCUCGAAUAACAUUUGACACGGACAACUUAGCACAUCGGCGUAGAAUAACUUUUGGUAGCUAAUGAGAAGAUCUAUCCAUAUCUGUGUUACAAUUGAAGAUCCAUUGGAAACUGACCGAGUUAUAAGCAUCCAAAGUGGCAAAAUGAGGCAAUUUUUUUCUUGUAAAUACCGAGAAAAUUUUAAGUCUUUGUAUCUCGAAUAACAUUUGACACGGACAACUUAGCACAUCGGCGUAGAAUAACUUUUGGUAGCUAAUGAGAAGAUCUAUCCAUAUCUGUGUUACAAUUGAAGAUCCAUUGGAAACUGACCGAGUUAUAAGCAUCCAAAGUGGCAAAAUGAGGCAAUUUUUUUCUUGUAAAUACCGAGGAAAUUUUAAGUCUUUGUAUCUCGAAUAACAUUUGACACGGACAACUUAGCACAUCGGCGUAGAAUAACUUUUGGUAGCUAAUGAGAAGAUCUAUCCAUAUCUGUGUUACAAUUGAAGAUCCAUUGGAAACUGACCGAGUUAUAAGCAUCCAAAGUGGCAAAAUGAGGCAAUUUUUUUUUUGUAAAUACCAAGAAAGUUUUAAGUCUUUGUAUCUCGAAUAACAUUUGACACGGACAACUUAGCACAUCGGCGUAGAAUAACUUUUGGUAGCUAAUGAGAAGAUCUAUCCAUAUCUGUGUUACAAUUGAAGAUCCAUUGGAAACUGACCGAGUUAUAAGCAUCCAAAGUGGCAAAAUGAGGCAAUUUUUUUCUUGUAAAUACCGAGAAAAUUUUAAGUCUUUGUAUCUCGAAUAACAUUUGACACGGACAACUUAGCACAUCGGCGUAGAAUAACUUUUGGUAGCUAAUGAGAAGAUCUAUCCAUAUCUGUGUUACAAUUGAAGAUCCAUUGGAAACUGACCGAGUUAUAAGCAUCCAAAGUGGCAAAAUGAGGCAAUUUUUUUUUUGGAACAACCGAGAAAAUUUUAAGUCUUUGUAUCUCGAAUAACAUUUGACACGGACAACUUAGCACAUCGGCGUAGAAUAACUUUUGGUAGCUAAUGAGAAGAUCUAUCCAUAUCUGUGUUACAAUUGAAGAUCCAUUGGAAACUGACCGAGUUAUAAGCAUCCAAAGUGGCAAAAUGAGGCAAUUUUUUUCUUGUAAAUACCGAGAAAAUUUUAAGUCUUUGUAUCUCGAAUAACAUUUGACACGGACAACUUAGCACAUCGGCGUAGAAUAACUUUUGGUAGCUAAUGAGAAGAUCUAUCCAUAUCUGUGUUACAAUUGAAGAUCCAUUGGAAACUGACCGAGUUAUAAGCAUCCAAAGUGGCAAAAUGAGGCAAUUUUUUUCUUGUAAAUACCGAGAAAAUUUUAAGUCUUUGUAUCUCGAAUAACAUUUGACACGGACAACUUAGCACAUCGGCGUAGAAUAACUUUUGGUAGCUAAUGAGAAGAUCUAUCCAUAUCUGUGUUACAAUUGAAGAUCCAUUGGAAACUGACCGAGUUAUAAGCAUCCAAAGUGGCAAAAUGAGGCAAUUUUUUUCUUGUAAAUACCGAGAAAAUUUUAAGUCUUUGUAUCUCGAAUAACAUUUGACACGGACAACUUAGCACAUCGGCGUAGAAUAACUUUUGGUAGCUAAUGAGAAGAUCUAUCCAUAUCUGUGUUACAAUUGAAGAUCCAUUGGAAACUGACCGAGUUAUAAGCAUCCAAAGUGGCAAAAUGAGGCAAUUUUUUUCUUGUAAAUACCGAGAAAAUUUUAAGUCUUUGUAUCUCGAAUAACAUUUGACACGGACAACUUAGCACAUCGGCGUAGAAUAACUUUUGGUAGCUAAUGAGAAGAUCUAUCCAUAUCUGUGUUACAAUUGAAGAUCCAUUGGAAACUGACCGAGUUAUAAGCAUCCAAAGUGGCAAAAUGAGGCAAUUUUUUUCUUGUAAAUACCGAGAAAAUUUUAAGUCUUUGUAUCUCGAAUAACAUUUGACACGGACAACUUAGCACAUCGGCGUAGAAUAACUUUUGGUAGCUAAUGAGAAGAUCUAUCCAUAUCUGUGUUACAAUUGAAGAUCCAUUGGAAACUGACCGAGUUAUAAGCAUCCAAAGUGGCAAAAUGGGGCAAUUUUUUUCUUGUAAAUACCGAGAAAAUUUUAAGUCUUUGUAUCUCGAAUAACAUUUGACACGGACAACUUAGCACAUCGGCGUAGAAUAACUUUUGGUAGCUAAUGAGAAGAUCUAUCCAUAUCUGUGUUACAAUUGAAGAUCCAUUGGAAACUGACCGAGUUAUAAGCAUCCAAAGUGGCAAAAUGAGGCAAUUUUUUUUUUGUAAAUACCGAGAAAAUUUUAAGUCUUUGUAUCUCGAAUAACAUUUGACACGGACAACUUAGCACAUCGGCGUAGAAUAACUUUUGGUAGCUAAUGAGAAGAUCUAUCCAUAUCUGUGUUACAAUUGAAGAUCCAUUGGAAACUGACCGAGUUAUAAGCAUCCAAAGUGGCAAAAUGAGGCAAUUUUUUUUUUGGAAAAACCGAGAAAAUUUUAAGUCUUUGUAUCUCGAAUAACAUUUGACACGGACAACUUAGCACAUCGGCGUAGAAUAACUUUUGGUAGCUAAUGAGAAGAUCUAUCCAUAUCUGUGUUACAAUUGAAGAUCCAUUGGAAACUGACCGAGUUAUAAGCAUCCAAAGUGGCAAAAUGAGGCAAUUUUUUUUUUGUAAAUACCGAGAAAAUUUUAAGUCUUUGUAUCUCGAAUAACAUUUGACACGGACAACUUAGCACAUCGGCGUAGAAUAACUUUUGGUAGCUUAUGAGAAGAUCUAUCCAUAUCUGUGUUACAAUUGAAGAUCCAUUGGAAACUGACCGAGUUAUAAGCAUCCAAAGUGGCAAAAUGAGGCAAUUUUUUUUUGUAAAUACCGAGAAAAUUUUAAGUCUUUGUAUCUCGAAUAACAUUUGACACGGAAAACUUAGCACAUCGGCGUAGAAUAACUUUUGGUAGCUAAUGAGAAGAUCUAUCCAUAUCUGUGUUACAAUUGCAAAUCCAUUGGAAACUGACCGAGUUAUAAGCAUCCAAAGUGGCAAAAUGAGGCAAUUUUUUUCUUGUAAAUACCAAGAAAAUUUUAAGUCUUUGUAUCUCGAAUAACAUUUGACACGGACAACUUAGCACAUCGGCGUAGAAUAACUUUUGGUAGCUAAUGAGAAGAUCUAUCCAUAUCUGUGUUACAAUUGAAGAUCCAUUGGAAACUGACCGAGUUAUAAGCAUCCAAAGUGGCAAAAUGAGGCAAUUUUUUUUUUGGAACAACCGAGAAAAUUUUAAGUCUUUGUAUCUCGAAUAACAUUUGACACGGACAACUUAGCACAUCGGCGUAGAAUAACUUUUGGUAGCUAAUGAGAAGAUCUAUCCAUAUCUGUGUUACAAUUGAAGAUCCAUUAAAAACUGACCGAGUUAUAAGCAUCCAAAGUGGCAAAAUGACUAUUCACGAAAGCGCCUCGCGCACUUGGUCGGGUUUUUGGUCCAACUUGCACCAUUUUUGGCCCGUAUUUGCCCCAUAGCUCCGCCGGUAUCCAAGAUAUUGCCACACGUUUUUCUGGCCAUGGCUAGAUGGCACUUGUGGCUAGAUUUCUUCCAUGCACCACUAAUCGCUACCAUGUCUGUGGCCGCAGCUAUUCGACGAACAACCAUCGCAUUUACCUAGGUACUUUUUCGGGUUUUUGGUCCAACUUGCACCAUUUUUGGCCCGUAUUUGCCCCAUAGCUCCGCCGGUAUCCAAGAUAUCGCCACACUUUCUUCUGGCCAUGGCUAGAUGGCACUUGUGGCUAGAUUUCUUCCAUGCACCACUAAUCGCUACCAUGUGUGUGGCCGGAGCUAUUUGACG
Molecule: long non-coding RNA, 6855 nt
Organism: Anopheles funestus (African malaria mosquito)
Lineage: Eukaryota; Metazoa; Arthropoda; Insecta; Diptera; Culicidae
Exons: 3
Source: RefSeq, a predicted model, not a curated record